Molecule: ribosomal RNA, 227 nt
Filed under: uncultured bacterium
Lineage: Bacteria
Description: partial 16S ribosomal RNA
Rfam family: Bacterial small subunit ribosomal RNA
Source: RNAcentral
GAUCCUGGCUCAGGACGAACGCUGGCGGCAUGCCUAACACAUGCAAGUCGAACGGAGAUAUUUGGAAGCUUGCUUUUGGAUAUCUUAGUGGCGGACGGGCGAGUAACGCGUGAGCAACCUGGCCUUCAGUGUGGAACAACGUCUGGAAACGGGCGCUAAUACCGCAUGAUGCAGUGGAAUCGCAUGGUUCUGCUGUCAAAGGAGCAAUCCGCUGAAGGAUGGCGUCG